Molecule: RNA transcript, 1633 nt
Organism: Dinoponera quadriceps
Lineage: Eukaryota; Metazoa; Arthropoda; Insecta; Hymenoptera; Formicidae
Gene: Ube2g1
Gene name: ubiquitin-conjugating enzyme E2 G1
Exons: 6
Source: RefSeq, a predicted model, not a curated record
GUUUAGCCAGUGGCGCAUGCGUGGUUACCGCUUCCGCAACGUACCUAGCCAUCUUUCCAAGUCAAGCAAAAGUGAUUGUUUUCAACCUUACUCUUAUUUAACUGAACUUUUAUUAAUGUCAGAGCCACAGUCCGCGCUGUUACUACGAAAACAAUUAGCAGAAUUAAAUAAAAACCCAGUAGAAGGGUUUUCUGCAGGCCUCAUAGACGACAAUGACAUAUAUCGAUGGGAAGUGCUUAUUAUUGGACCUCCGGAUACAUUAUAUGAGGGUGGUUUUUUUAAAGCACAUUUACAGUUUCCAAAAGAAUACCCACUUAGGCCACCAAAAAUGAAAUUUAUAACUGAGAUAUGGCAUCCAAAUAUUGACAGAAAUGGAGAUGUUUGUAUAUCAAUAUUGCACGAACCUGGUGAUGACAAGUGGGGAUAUGAAAAAGCAUCAGAACGGUGGUUACCAGUUCACACAGUCGAGACUAUCUUGAUAAGUGUUAUUAGUAUGCUUGCAGAUCCUAACGAUGAAAGUCCUGCUAAUGUGGAUGCCGCCAAAGAGUGGAGAGAAAGUUAUACGGAAUUUAAACGAAAGGUGGCGAGGUGCGUGAGAAAAAGCCAAGAGGAAUGUUUGUAGGGGAUGAACAAAUAUUCAAAUGGAAAGACUUAUUUAAUUCUGGAUUUGGCGUGCGUGAAAAUUUUGCUGCUCAAUAACUUUCAGUCACUAAAUUUGUGUUGAACGAGCGUAGAUGAUAAUUACAAAAAAUGCAGUUUUACAAAAAUAUAUAUUUCCUAGCUCGAUAUAUAUAUUGAUAGAGGAUCAAGUUUUUAGUAUUACCUCUUCGAUGGUUCAGUUGCUCGAUUCACGUCCCGCUACAGCAGUUUAAGUUUCCCGCCGCACAUAUACUCUGCCGUGACUCCGCCGUAACAUCGGUUAGUUUAAAACGAUACUCCGCAACGAAAGCAGAGGAUUUUUCUUACGCACCUCGAAAACGUGUGCCGCAUUCCGGUUAUGGAACACGUCAUUAUAACAAUCCGAUGUAAGUGUGAAUUCCUUCGAGCCAGAAACUUCACAAUUUAGAGACAAAACAUCGACAAGGUAAGAAAAAUAAAUGAAAGAUUAAGAUCGUCAACUAUACGAGAUGUAAUAUAUGUGAAGUAAAAUUCUAAAUUUUACUUCAAUGUCUUGAAGAUAUAUGUAUGGACUUACGACAAAGUAUAUUAUAUACAUUUUUUGAAAUCGUAUUUUUACGGAUAUUGCUUAAAUUUAAAUCUAAAUUUAUCGAUAAGAGGUUAUUACACAAUGAAAUGAAGAGCUUAUUACACAAUGAAAUGAGAGAAUUGUGUUCAGUGUUAACCUGAGUAUGAUGGUUUUCGUAGCGUGUAAUUAUACCAUAUUAUACAUCAAAUAUGUCCAGAUAUAUCAGUGAUUAGAGAUAAUCGACGAUGCUAUCGUUUUUCAAUUAUUUCCGGAGCUAUCGAGUCCAUUUCUCAUAUAGUAAAAUUUGCUCAAGGCUGGUGCUUUUUCUAUAAUAUUAAUAUCUAUUAAUCUGUUGAUUAUAAAAUGAUUUAUAUCAGAUUUAGACACAGAGAUAUACAUUUACGUCCGUUGCGCACAUUUAAUAACAAUUAAUAUAAUAAAUAGACA